Mauremys reevesii (Reeves's turtle) is the source of this 1077-nucleotide long non-coding RNA. RefSeq lists it as uncharacterized. The transcript is spliced from 3 exons. The record is from RefSeq and is a predicted model, not a curated record. Lineage: Eukaryota; Metazoa; Chordata; Testudines; Geoemydidae.
GCUGGGAGUAAGAAGAUGUGUUGUGGGAAGACUGGGAGAAAGAAGGUGCUCAGUGAAAGAUCCGGGAGGACAAGCAUGGUCAGGAGGGGAGAGAGGCUACACUGAGCGUCACAGCAAACCUCUGAGGCAAGCCCUAACUGCCUCGAAGCGCAGGACCUCCCGAGGCAAAGCUGGAGCUCUGCUACAGCUCAUAUAAAGUUAAUUGGCCCAUUCAUUCCUCCGGGGGAAAAGGCAGGGCAAGGAAGAGUGGGAAUGAAAGAGAAGAGCUCGCCCUUGACAGAGCAGCACUGGCCUGUGUCCUAUUCCCAGAACCGUGUGCAUCUCAGGAUAUCCACAGGUGUUGGUGGACCAACCUCUUUCAUCUCCCCACUCUGGAAGAAGCAAGGUGGAAAACCUCAGCUCUGAUGGAAAUAUUUCAAGGAAACGCCUUGAGAUUCUCCUACUGAACUCCUAUACUGCUGUUAAUUUUUCCUGCAAAUUUUCCUGAUUGGCUUAAAGUUACUCAAAUACUGUGAUGACGGGUGACCUUAGAAAAACCUAGAUAGGUUGAUCUUGGCCUUAGUUACCAAGAGCUGUGUGUUACUUGAGAGCUGUGUGUGUUUACAGGAGUCCAUAGGUCUCUUCCACAGUUUUUUCAUCUUUUUAAUGAUUUCAUUAACAAAAAAUUGUAAUGAACCCACCAUAGUUCUGUUCAGGGGAGUUAUACCUGGUAUGAAUUUGUCUCUGUUUCUUUGUUCUAACAGAUUAAACACUAAACAACAACAUGCAAUAGAUGGAAAGCUUGGUAAAUCAUGGGGGAUGACAGUAUAUAAAGAAGAGGACUAGGGUGAGGAUUAUUUCUGCAGUCUGAUCAAGUAAUUACAUAGCAGUAUUUGUAUAUACCAUGAACACAUGUUCAUGUGAUGAAAUAUUAAAGCAGACAUUCGGGGCCUGAUUUUCCAUUGCCUCACCCUGGGUGGGGAGUCAUUUAUUAUCUGUGAAAGCCAGGAGUGAUAUGCUUCCCGCAUUUUACACCCAUUUUGCACAGGUGUAAAAGACAAAACAAGCAGCAAGGCUGAAUUGGGCUUAAGCCUACUC